GAAGGUCUGUAGCGUCAGGAAAAUAUUUAGAGCUUAUUCUGUGUGAAAUCAUUAUUUAACUUAUGCCUGAUUUAACUUAAUAUUUAUGAGCAGUCUAGCCAUUAAAAACAUUGUUAUUUCCUUCCUCCUCCACCUUUCUGGCACAGACCAUCAGUUACCUGAUGAAACCGUGGAAGAAUGUGGAAGUAAUCCCACGGUGCUGAUCCCUUAAGGGCUCGGUGAAGAAUGGAAACAAGAUUUACAAAUUCUGCCAAGUAAAUUGUGUAUUUUCACGUCUCUAAGGUGAGCAUUUUGGUGGCUUAUAUGAGGAUCCAGAGAAGACCCCCAACGACUCCACGGCUGGUGAGCAAACAAGUGCAGUACUCAUUAGAGCCCAUCGAACUUGCUGCUUUUCUCAUCGACCCUGGAGUUUGAGGGUCCUCCUAGUUGUGCCAUGUGGGAUGCCACCUCAGUGUGGCCUGAUGAGCGGUGCCAUGUCUGUGCCCAGGAUCCGAACCGGUGAAACCCUGGGCUGCUAAAGCAGAGCACGCAAACUUAACCACUGGGCCACGGGGCCAGCCCCAACAAUAAGACCAUCAGUUACCUGAUGAAACCAUGGAAGAACGUGGAGAUAACCCCACAGUGCUUAUCCUUCAAAGGCUCAGUGAAGAAUGGAACCAAGAUUUACAAAUUCUACCAAAUAAAUUGUGUAUUUUCACAUCCUUAAGAUGACUCAAGGCAUUUUUGAAUGUAAUAGGAAAAAAUAACAUAAAAAACAAAGUAGUGGACAGAACCCAAAAACUCCUUUGCUACUGUAGAGGAGCAAAAUGAAGGAAGUGCUCUGAAGUGGUCUCUUCAGAAUCAUUCACUUGGAAUCUGACCUUCUGCUCUUACUUGUUUGACACUAGCACCAUUUCACAGAGGACCCAGGCAUCAUCUAAAACAUAUAUUGCCAAUGGUGCUACAGAAAAGGAUUCAUCAACUUCAUUUGCAAGCAUGGGACAUCUUUAGAAAAGAGAAACAUGAUGCAGCUUUUGUGAGAAACAUGUAGUAUUUUGAUUGCUGGUGCAUAUUGGAAGACUCUGAAAAACACCUAACAGCAUUGUCCUGCUUGCAUCCUCUUUUGGAGACAGACUAUGAAUGGGACGUGAGACUUCUAUAAGACAUAUCUAGUGGAACCCUGAGAGAUGGAUGAACUUGUGCCUCA
RNAcentral lists this long non-coding RNA (1186 nucleotides) under Equus caballus (horse). RNAcentral's name for it is "lncRNA (ENSECAG00000035199.2)". The record is from RNAcentral. Lineage: Eukaryota; Metazoa; Chordata; Mammalia; Perissodactyla; Equidae.